CGGUAGCAGGAAGUGCUUGCACUUUGCUGACGAGUGGCGGACGGGUGAGUAAUACUUAGGAACAUGCCUUUGUGUGGGGGAUAACCAUUGGAAACGAUGGCUAAUACCGCAUAAUGUCUUUGGACCAAAGAGGGCUUUCGGGCUCUCGCGCAAAGAGUGGCCCAAGUGAGAUUAGCUUGUUGGUGAGGUAAAGGCUCACCAAGGCGACGAUCUCUAGCUGUUCUGAGAGGAAGAUCAGCCACACUGGGACUGAGACACGGCCCAGACUCCUACGGGAGGCAGCAGUGGGGAAUAUUGCACAAUGGGGGCAACCCUGAUGCAGCCAUGCCGCGUGUGUGAAGAAGGCCUUCGGGUUGUAAAGCACUUUCAGUUGUGAGGAAAGGUUGAUGGUUAAUACCCAUCAGCUGUGACGUUAGCAACAGAAGAAGCACCGGCUAACUCCGUGCCAGCAGCCGCGGUAAUACGGAGGGUGCGAGCGUUAAUCGGAAUUACUGGGCGUAAAGCGCACGCAGGCGGUUAUAUAAGCUAGAUGUGAAAGCCCCGGGCUCAACCUGGGAAUAGCAUUUAGAACUGUAUGACUAGAGUCUUGGAGAGGGGAGUGGAAUUCCAGGUGUAGCG
RNAcentral lists this ribosomal RNA (618 nucleotides) under uncultured bacterium. RNAcentral's name for it is "bacterial SSU rRNA". It matches the Rfam family "Bacterial small subunit ribosomal RNA", at positions 67 to 680 of the family's 1533-position model. The record is from RNAcentral.